UGCGAGCCGCCGCGGUAAGACGAACCGUCCAAACGUUAUUCGGAAUUACUGGGCUUAAAGGGUGCGUAGGUGGCGUUGUAAGUCAGAGGUGAAAUCCCACAGCUCAACUGUGGAAUUGCCUUUGAUACUGUAAUGCUUGAAUCAGGUUGAGGUCGGCGGAAUGUGGCAUGUAGCGGUGAAAUGCUUAGAUAUGCCAUAGAACACCAAUUGCGAAGGCAGCUGGCUAGACCUGUAUUGACGCUGAGGCACGAAAGCGUGGGGAGCGAACAGGAUUAGAUA
This 279-nucleotide ribosomal RNA is filed under the name uncultured bacterium. RNAcentral describes it as "partial 16S ribosomal RNA". It matches the Rfam family "Bacterial small subunit ribosomal RNA", at positions 506 to 784 of the family's 1533-position model. The record is from RNAcentral.